Mustela lutreola (European mink) is the source of this 320-nucleotide long non-coding RNA. RefSeq lists it as uncharacterized. The record is from RefSeq and is a predicted model, not a curated record. The transcript is spliced from 3 exons. Lineage: Eukaryota; Metazoa; Chordata; Mammalia; Carnivora; Mustelidae.
GAUGCCCUCUGCAAGAAGCCUUUUGGAAACCCCAGAAUGACUCGGAGCCCGAGGCCCUGUUUCCUCUCCUGACCGCAUCCUGCAGCUCGCAGCUGGGGGCAGGUGCAGGAGGGGUACUGCCCGUUGGCAUCUGCCUCUGUGGCGCAGAACCCUCUUGACAGGGCACAGGCUGGUGGCAGGAGAAGCCACUGAAGAAGUUGUUGAUGCAUUUUCCCAGUCCUUCUCCCCAUUUCGACUGCCGCAACGACUUGGAGACAAGAAGCCUUCUACAGACUCGGAUCUAAAUGUUAACCUAAGUUUUUUCAAAAAUAUUACCUGAA